GGCAGGUCAGCAUACUGCCGUGAAUAACGUUCCCGGGCCCUUGUACACACCGCCCGUCACACCAUGAGAGUUGGGAAUACCCGAAGCCUGUGAGCUAACUUAUAGAGGCAGCAGUCGAAGGUAGAAUCAAUGAUUGGGGUGAAGUCGUAACAAGGUAGC
This 159-nucleotide ribosomal RNA is filed under the name uncultured bacterium. RNAcentral's name for it is "partial 16S ribosomal RNA". It matches the Rfam family "Bacterial small subunit ribosomal RNA", at positions 1343 to 1500 of the family's 1533-position model. The record is from RNAcentral.